AAUAAGCUAUUUAAGAGCGUAAGGUGGAUGCCUUGGCUCUCAGAGGCGAUGAAGGACGUGAUAAGCUGCGAUAAGCUGCGGGGAUUGGCACACACAAUUUGAUCCGUAGAUUUCCGAAUGGGGCAACCCACUAUAUUGAAGAUAUAGUAUCCGUUAAGGAAGCAAACCCAGGGAACUGAAACAUCUAAGUACCUGGAGGAAUAGAAAACAAAAGUGAUUCCGCUAGUAGUGGCGAGCGAACGCGGAACAGCCCAAACCAAAAUUGUUUCGGCAAUUUUGGGGUUGUGGGACCACGACAUUGAAUGUUUAAUGAAUUAGAAUUCUUUGGAAAAAGAAACCAUA
Molecule: ribosomal RNA, 342 nt
Filed under: uncultured Flavobacteriaceae bacterium
Lineage: Bacteria; Pseudomonadati; Bacteroidota; Flavobacteriia; Flavobacteriales; Flavobacteriaceae
Description: bacterial LSU rRNA
Rfam family: Bacterial large subunit ribosomal RNA
Source: RNAcentral